AUUGAACGCUGGCGGCAGGCCUAACACAUGCAAGUCGAGCGGAUGAGGGGAGCUUGCUCCUGGAUUCAGCGGCGGACGGGUGAGUAAUGCCUAGGAAUCUGCCUGGUAGUGGGGGAUAACGUCCGGAAACGGGCGCUAAUACCGCAUACGUCCUGAGGGAGAAAGUGGGGGAUCUUCGGACCUCACGCUAUCAGAUGAGCCUAGGUCGGAUUAGCUAGUUGGUGGGGUAAAGGCCUACCAAGGCGACGAUCCGUAACUGGUCUGAGAGGAUGAUCAGUCACACUGGAACUGAGACACGGUCCAGACUCCUACGGGGGGCAGCAGUGGGGAAUAUUGGACAAUGGGCGAAAGCCUGAUCCAGCCAUGCCGCGUGUGUGAAGAAGGUCUUCGGAUUGUAAAGCACUUUAAGUUGGGAGGAAGGGCAGUAAGUUAAUACCUUGCUGUUUUGACGUUACCAACAGAAUAAGCACCGGCUAACUUCGUG
RNAcentral lists this ribosomal RNA (484 nucleotides) under uncultured bacterium. RNAcentral describes it as "partial 16S ribosomal RNA". It matches the Rfam family "Bacterial small subunit ribosomal RNA", at positions 30 to 507 of the family's 1533-position model. The record is from RNAcentral.